GGAAACUGACGGAACUCUUCGGAGGGAAGGCAGCGGAAUGAGCGGCGGACGGGUGAGUAACACGUAAGGAACCUGCCUCAAGGAUUGGGAUAACUCCGAGAAAUCGGAGCUAAUACCGGAUAGUUCAACGGACCGCAUGGUCCGCUGAUGAAAGGCGCUUCGGCGUCACCUUGAGAUGGCCUUGCGGUGCAUUAGCUAGUUGGUGGGGUAACGGCCCACCAAGGCGACGAUGCAUAGCCGACCUGAGAGGGUGAUCGGCCACACUGGGACUGAGACACGGCCCAGACUCCUACGGGAGGCAGCAGUAGGGAAUCUUCCACAAUGGACGAAAGUCUGAUGGAGCAACGCCGCGUGAGUGAUGAAGGUUUUCGGAUCGUAAAACUCUGUUGUAAGGGAAGAACACGUACGAGAGGUAAUGCUCGUACCUUGACGGUACCUUACGAGAAAGCCACGGCUAACUACGUGCCAGCAGCCGCGGUAAUACGUAGGUGGCAAGCGUUGUCCGGAAUUAUUGGGCGUAAAGCGCGCGCAGGCGGCCUUUUAAGUCUGAUGUGAAAGCCCCCGGCUCAACCGGGGAGGGCCAUUGGAAACUGGAAGGCUUGAGUACAGAAGAGAAGAGUGGAAUUCCACGUGUAGCGGUGAAAUGCGUAGAGAUGUGGAGGAACACCAGUGGCGAAGGCGACUCUUUGGUCUGUAACUGACGCUGAGGC
This 710-nucleotide ribosomal RNA is filed under the name bacterium Pu.J26. RNAcentral describes it as "bacterial SSU rRNA". It matches the Rfam family "Bacterial small subunit ribosomal RNA", at positions 57 to 752 of the family's 1533-position model. The record is from RNAcentral.